This 253-nucleotide ribosomal RNA is filed under the name uncultured bacterium. RNAcentral describes it as "partial 16S ribosomal RNA". It matches the Rfam family "Bacterial small subunit ribosomal RNA", at positions 524 to 776 of the family's 1533-position model. The record is from RNAcentral.
UACGGAGGGUGCGAGCGUUGUCCGGAAUCACUGGGCGUAAAGGGCGCGUAGGCGGCCUGAUAAGUAGGGGGUGAAAUCCUGCGGCUUAACCGCAGGGCUGCCUUCUAAACUGUCGGGCUAGAGCACGGUAGAGGCAGAUGGAAUUCCCGGUGUAGCGGUGGAAUGCGUAGAGAUCGGGAAGAACAUCAGUGGCGAAAGCGGCUCUCUGGAACGGUACUGACGCUGAGACGCGAAAGCGUGGGGAGCGAACAGG